Molecule: small RNA, 85 nt
Filed under: Streptomyces sp. NRRL WC-3618
Lineage: Bacteria; Bacillati; Actinomycetota; Actinomycetes; Kitasatosporales; Streptomycetaceae
Description: nrdJ RNA
Rfam family: nrdJ RNA
Source: Rfam by way of RNAcentral
ACCUGCUGCGGGCGGCAUCAAGAGGGUGCCCGCAGCGCCAGGAACAACACCGUGUCAUGGGAACAACGUGACACUUCUGGGCGUU